GAUGAACGCUGGCGGCGUGCCUAAUACAUGCAAGUCGAGCGAACGGACGAGAAGCUUGCUUCUCUGAUGUUAGCGGCGGACGGGUGAGUAACACGUGGAUAACCUACCUAUAAGACUGGGAUAACUUCGGGAAACCGGAGCUAAUACCGGAUAAUAUUUUGAACCGCAUGGUUCAAAAGUGAAAGACGGUCUUGCUGUCACUUAUAGAUGGAUCCGCGCUGCAUUAGCUAGUUGGUAAGGUAACGGCUUACCAAGGCAACGAUGCAUAGCCGACCUGAGAGGGUGAUCGGCCACACUGGAACUGAGACACGGUCCAGACUCCUACGGGAGGCAGCAGUAGGGAAUCUUCCGCAAUGGGCGAAAGCCUGACGGAGCAACGCCGCGUGAGUGAUGAAGGUCUUCGGAUCGUAAAACUCUGUUAUUAGGGAAGAACAUAUGUGUAAGUAACUGUGCACAUCUUGACGGUACCUAAUCAGAAAGCCACGGCUAACUACGUGCCAGCAGCCGCGGUAAUACGUANGUGGCAAGCGUUAUCCGGAAUUAUUGGGCGUAAAGCGCGCGUAGGCGGUUUUUUAAGUCUGAUGUGAAAGCCCACGGCUCAACCGUGGAGAGUCAUUGGAAACUGGAAAACUUGAGUGCAGAAGAGGAAAGUGGAAUUCCAUGUGUAGCGGUGAAAUGCGCAGAGAUAUGGAGGAACACCAGUGGCGAAGGCGACUUUCUGGUCUGUAACUGACGCUGAUGUGCGAAAGCGUGGGGAUCAAACAGGAUUAGAUACCCUGGUAGUCCACGCCGUAAACGAUGAGUGCUAAGUGUUAGGGGGUUUCCGCCCCUUAGUGCUGCAGCUAACGCAUUAAGCACUCCGCCUGGGGAGUACGACCGCAAGGUUGAAACUCAAAGGAAUUGACGGGGACCCGCACAAGCGGUGGAGCAUGUGGUUUAAUUCGAGGCAACGCGAAGAACCUUACCAAAUCUUGACAUCCUUUGACAACUCUAGAGAUAGAGCCUUCCCCUUCGGGGGACAAAGUGACAGGUGGUGCAUGGUUGUCGUCAGCUCGUGUCGUGAGAUGUUGGGUUAAGUCCCGCAACGAGCGCAACCCUUAAGCUUAGUUGCCAUCAUUAAGUUGGGCACUCUAAGUUGACUGCCGGUGACAAACCGGAGGAAGGUGGGGAUGACGUCAAAUCAUCAUGCCCCUUAUGAUUUGGGCUACACACGUGCUACAAUGGACAAUACAAAGGGCAGCGAAACCGCGAGGUCAAGCAAAUCCCAUAAAGUUGUUCUCAGUUCGGAUUGUAGUCUGCAACUCGACUACAUGAAGCUGGAAUCGCUAGUAAUCGUAGAUCAGCAUGCUACGGUGAAUACGUUCCCGGGUCU
RNAcentral lists this ribosomal RNA (1372 nucleotides) under uncultured bacterium. RNAcentral describes it as "bacterial SSU rRNA". It matches the Rfam family "Bacterial small subunit ribosomal RNA", at positions 28 to 1381 of the family's 1533-position model. The record is from RNAcentral.